UGGGGAAUUUUGGACAAUGGGCGCAAGCCUGAUCCAGCCAUGCCGCGUGCGGGAAGAAGGCCUUCGGGUUGUAAACCGCUUUUGUCAGGGAAGAAAUCCUUUGAGCUAAUACCUCGGGGGGAUGACGGUACCUGAAGAAUAAGCACCGGCUAACUACGUGCCAGCAGCCGCGGUAAUACGAAGGGGGCUAGCGUUGCUCGGAAUUACUGGGCGUAAAGGGAGCGUAGGCGGACAUUUAAGUCAGGGGUGAAAUCCCGGGGCUCAACCUCGGAAUUGCCUUUGUGACUGCAUAGCUAGAGUACGGUAGAGGGGGAUGGAAUUCCGCGUAUAACAGUGCAAUGCGUAGAUAUGCGGAGGAACACCGAUGGCGAAGGCAAUCCCCUGGACCUGUACUGACGAUCAUGCACGAAAGCGGGGGGAGCAAACA
Molecule: ribosomal RNA, 427 nt
Filed under: uncultured bacterium
Lineage: Bacteria
Description: bacterial SSU rRNA
Rfam family: Bacterial small subunit ribosomal RNA
Source: RNAcentral